UUAUUUUUUUUAUUAUUAAAAUUUAAUAUAUAAGUGAAGAAGCUUAUAUUUUUCUAUAGGACAAAAAGACCCUAAUGAUUUUUAUUUUUAAAAUUUUUAUAAAAUUUUUAAAAUUUUUAAAUAGUUUAUUAAAAUUUUACUGGGGCGGUAAUUAAAUAAAUUUAACUUUAAUUUUAUACUGAUUUUAAUCUAUUUUAUGAUCCUUUAUAAUGAUUAAAAGUAAAAAAUACCAUAGGGAUAACAGGUUAAUU
Molecule: ribosomal RNA, 251 nt
Filed under: Tomopteris sp. USNM IZ 1240403
Lineage: Eukaryota; Metazoa; Annelida; Polychaeta; Phyllodocida; Tomopteridae
Description: partial large subunit ribosomal RNA
Source: RNAcentral